AGAGUUUGAUCCUGGCUCAAGAUGAACGCUGGCGGCAUGCCUAAUACAUGCAAGUCGAACGGGGUGCUUGCACCCAGUGGCGAACGGGUGAGUAACACGUAUCUAAUCUACCUUUUAGUGGGGGAUAACAGUUGGAAACGACUGCUAAUACCGCAUACGACGUCAUUAUCGCAUGAGAAGACGUUAAAAGAUCCGUUUGGAUCGCUAGAAGAUGAUGAUGCGGCGUAUUAGCUAGUAGGUGAGGUAAUGGCUCACCUAGGCGAUGAUACGUAGCCGAACUGAGAGGUUGAUCGGCCACAUUGGGACUGAGAUACGGCCCACACUCCUACGGGAGGCAGCAGUAGGGAAUUUUUCACAAUGGACGAAAGUCUGAUGAAGCAAUGCCGCGUGAGUGAUGACGGUCUUCGGAUUGUAAAGCUCUGUUGUAAGGGAAGAAAUGGUAAGAUAGGAAAAUGAUUCUGCUUUGACGGAACCUUACCAGACAGCCACGGCUAACUAUGUGCCCCCGCCGCGGAAUAC
This 519-nucleotide ribosomal RNA is filed under the name uncultured bacterium. Its description in RNAcentral is "bacterial SSU rRNA". It matches the Rfam family "Bacterial small subunit ribosomal RNA", at positions 8 to 526 of the family's 1533-position model. The record is from RNAcentral.